UGGCUAACUCCUACGGGAGGCAGCAGUGGGGAAUCUUGCGCAAUGGGCGAAAGCCUGACGCGGCGACGCCGCGUGCGGGAAGAAGGCCUUAGGGUUGUAAACCGCUUUCAGGAGGGACGAAGCUACUCGGGUGAACAGCCCAGAGGGUGACGGUACCUCCAGAAGAAGCCCCGGCUAACUACGUGCCAGCAGCCGCGGUAAUACGUAGGGGGCAAGCGUUGUCCGGAUUCAUUGGGCGUAAAGAGCGUGUAGGCGGCCAGGUAGGUCGGUUGUGAAAACUGGAGGCUCAACCUUCAGACGUCGACCGAAACCCCCUGGCUAGAGUCCGGGAGAGGAGAGUGGAAUUCCUGGUGUAGCGGUGGAAUGCGCAGAUAUCAGGAAGAACACCCGUGGCGAAAGCGGCUCUCUGGAACGGUACUGACGCUGAGACGCGAAAGCGUGGGGAGCGAACAGGAUUAGAUACCCCUGUAGUCCAGCUGG
RNAcentral lists this ribosomal RNA (480 nucleotides) under uncultured bacterium. Its description in RNAcentral is "bacterial SSU rRNA". It matches the Rfam family "Bacterial small subunit ribosomal RNA", at positions 329 to 803 of the family's 1533-position model. The record is from RNAcentral.